CGCGGCGCGUCGGUUCGAGUGCGGGAACGGAAAAAAUCUUACCAUCGAGUUUGCUCAAUGCUUUAUACCUGCUCGCGAUAUGGUGUUGCCUCCGUCACAAAGUGCAAUAGCAUCAACUCAUUCAGUUACCAACGGUGCAAUUCCCAAAGUUCCAGAAACGAAUUUUUCAGUAGAGACUUUCAGGAGUGUGGACAAUAGCUCAAGAAUAGAGGUUGUCAAAUGGAUAGUGUGUUGAUCAGUUCAGUCAUAUCAUAAACAUACCGUGCAAUUCAUCCCUUCGUAGAUAAACCGAUCAAGGUGGACACUUAAGUGCUAUUUUGACUUCGAUGUAGUCAGUCUUCACGCUAUGACUGGCCCAGGACAGAUGUAACUCAAGAUUCGAACUCAGUGAAACCAAAAAAAACGUAACCUAAACCUAGGGGUACCGAACCCCAAAAAACCUAAUGAUAUAGACUACUAAAAACAACCCCCUUACAGGCUCCAAACCCUUCCUAUAAUAUUACACUUCCCUUCCUUUUAACUAAUCAGGCCCCAUCACAGCUGUUCAAAACAAAAUUUCCAAAACAAAUUUCCUCACCAUACAUUUCAAAACAACAAAACCAUUUAUAUUGUAUAUUUUUUUUACCCUUGCAAAAUUCAAAAGUUAAGUUUUUAUUGUUACAAAUUUUGUAUUCUAAAAAAUUAUAUUUAAAGAAAUUAUUGUAGGAGAAAAUUUUUGAAAUUAUCAUAUGUUUAGUAUAAUUUUUAUUGAAAUUCGAUGUGCCUAAAAUUUUAGAUACGUUUUAUAUUAUCCUUGAAAAUUUUUAUCAAAAAGAAAUCCUUAUUUGAGUUUUUUAGUUGUUUGGUUAUUUUAUUCUUUAGUUACCUAUUUAUUAAGGCCUAUUAGUCUCUUACAAUCCUCCGCGAAUCGUCCUGCGAUUUCGUCGUUUCGCGAAUCUCCUCCGAGUGCGAAUCUUAUCAUUAGUAACACGGUAACGCCAUCACGCGGUCGCCUUCUUAAUCAAGAAUUGCUGCCACUAUUGCAUCAUCAACACAACCUCUGUAACUCAUUCACUUCUACAAAUAGCUCUUAGCUCUCAUCUAUAAUCAUCAUCAUCGGUAAGUUAUUUAAUGAUAUCAACUUACAUAGAUUCGCUUUAU
This 1140-nucleotide long non-coding RNA is filed under the name Bemisia tabaci. RNAcentral's name for it is "lncRNA ENSASIAIIG011076". Lineage: Eukaryota; Metazoa; Arthropoda; Insecta; Hemiptera; Aleyrodidae. The record is from RNAcentral.